AAUUUUCGCAGUUCUUUCACGGCUGCUGCUCCCCAUCUUCUCUCUCCACUCCUUGUCCCGCUCACUACUCGGGAAACCAUGUGUCCCAUCCUAGCACCUCUCCUCCCAGCCUUACCGACUCCCCACUCCCUACCUGCAUCCUUCACCACCUCUCCCCAGCCAGUCGUACACAGAAGCACCAGAGUCACUCGGCGUCUCUCCUAAGAAAAUCUCCGGAGAGACUGUAAAUACCCGCCCCGAAAGUCUGAGGAGAUCAUGUUUCCAGCAUGUCCAUAUUUGACUGUUGUAACAGAUGAGUCAUUUCCCACCUGUCUGAGCUGAAGUACUAGAACAUAAGGAAUCAUCUGGAUUCACAGUGAAGCAGAGCUCUCAUAGGGGGUGUGUCCCUGGCUUUGGAAUGACAUUCAUGUCAACCACCUCAAAAACAAGUCUGACCCAAUUAGAGACAGCCAUUCAGCAGACUGCUCUGAAGAUACUACAUUGAUGUUUGAACUGAUUGGAAAGAAUUAGCAAUCACUUUAAAAUCAGAGAAAAAGGUACAAAUGAGUUUAAAAGGGAGGAUAUCAUGGUUUGAUCAGUUAUGAAAGUUAAAGAAAUCAACACAUGAGGGGAUGGUAGAAGUUCAUAUACUGAAAUAUGAAAAGCUGUGCUGUGAGGAGCAAACACGGAGUACAUGAGUUUGCUGCUGCAACUUUCUGUGAGAGGACGUCAGUAAGCUUGAAUUUUAAAGAGGGCUGUGAAGAACAACCACCUUCUUGUUCCAGGGUUCCUUAAGGAAAUGUUCAAAAGUAUCGGCACAAAUACGACGGUUGAAGCUUUCUUCGGAAGUUCAAGCAGAAACGAGGAAGAUUAGCCCUGAGCUAACUGCUGCCAAUGCUCCUCUUUUUGCUGCGGAAGACUGGCCCUGAGCUAACAUCCGUGCCCAUCUUCCUCUACUGUAUAUGUGGGAUGCCUACCACAGCAUGGCUUGAUAAGCGGUGCCAUGUCCACACCCGGGAUCCGAACCAGCGAACCCCAGGCCACUGAAGUGGAACAUGCGCACUUAACCGUUACGUCAGGGGGCCAGCCCAUAUUUCUCUUAUUUUUUUAACAUAGGAUUUCUUAUUGUUAACAGUUCAUUG
RNAcentral lists this long non-coding RNA (1121 nucleotides) under Equus caballus (horse). RNAcentral describes it as "lncRNA (ENSECAG00000046331.1)". The record is from RNAcentral. Lineage: Eukaryota; Metazoa; Chordata; Mammalia; Perissodactyla; Equidae.